GCUGGGAGUGGCUGAGGGGUGGUCUAUGGUGAUAGGUGGGAUGGGCUGGGAGUGGCUGAGGGGUGGUCUAUGGUGAUAGGUGGGAUGGGCUGGGAGUGGCUGAGGGGUGGUCUAUGGUGAUAGGUGGGAUGGACUGGGAGUGGCUGAGGGGUGGUCUAUGGUGAUAGGUGGGAUGGGCUGGGAGUGGCUGAGGGGUGGUCUAUGGUGAUAGGUGGGAUGGGCUGGGAGUGGCUGAGGGGUGGUCUAUGGUGAUAGGUGGGAUGGACUGGGAGUGGCUGAGGGGUGGUCUAUGGUGAUAGGUGGGAUGGACUGAGGGGGCGGGAUUUAAGAGCUGAUGUUCGGUAAUGUAUUAUUGUUAUGUGACUGAUGUAUAUAAAAGUGCCAUGUAUGUCAAAUGUGUGUCUAUGUAGCAGGAAAGCUGUAUAAAGAAGAAUAUAUUUCUCCUCUGCAGAGCGGUGGCGGUGGAGGGGUUAAAUAACC
Molecule: long non-coding RNA, 480 nt
Organism: Oncorhynchus tshawytscha (Chinook salmon)
Lineage: Eukaryota; Metazoa; Chordata; Actinopteri; Salmoniformes; Salmonidae
Source: Ensembl